This 507-nucleotide ribosomal RNA is filed under the name uncultured bacterium. RNAcentral's name for it is "partial 16S ribosomal RNA". It matches the Rfam family "Bacterial small subunit ribosomal RNA", at positions 29 to 523 of the family's 1533-position model. The record is from RNAcentral.
AUUGAACGCUGGCGGCAUGCCUAACACAUGCAAGUCGAACGGCAGCACGAGUAAGUUUACUUACUUGGUGGCGAGUGGCGGACGGGUGAGUAACGCGUAGGAAUAUGCCCGAAAGAGCGGGAUAGCUUGGGGAAACUCAGGGUAAUACCGCAUAUAAUCUUAGGAUGAAAGCUGGGGACCGCAAGGCCUGGCGCUUUAGGAGUAGCCUGCGUCUGAUUAGCUAGUUGGUGUGGUAAAGGCGCACCAAGGCGACGAUCGGUAGCUGGUCUGGGAGGAGGGACAGCCACACUGGGACGGAGACACGGCCCAGAGUCCUACGGGAGGCAGCAGUGGGGGAUAUUGGACAAUGGGGGCAACCCUGAUCCAGCGAUGCCGCGUGUGUGAAGAAGGCCUGCGGGUUGUAAAGCACUUUCAGUGGGGAGGAGGGUAAGCAAGUUAAAAGCUAGAGUUACUGGACGUUACCCACAGAAGAAGCACCGGCAAACUCCGUGCCAGCCGCCGCCGUAA